Molecule: ribosomal RNA, 253 nt
Filed under: uncultured bacterium
Lineage: Bacteria
Description: partial 16S ribosomal RNA
Rfam family: Bacterial small subunit ribosomal RNA
Source: RNAcentral
UACGUAGGUGGCGAGCGUUGUCCGGAUUUAUUGGGUUUAAAGGGUGCGUAGGCGGCUUUGUAAGUCAGUGGUGAAAUACUCCAGCUUAACUGGAGGGGUGCCAUUGAUACUGCGGAGCUUGAGUACAGAUGAGGUAGGCGGAAUUGACGGUGUAGCGGUGAAAUGCAUAGAUAUCGUCAAGAACACCGAUAGCGAAGGCAGCUUACUGGGCUGUAACUGACGCUGAUGCACGAAAGUGUGGGGAGCAAACAGG